Myripristis murdjan (pinecone soldierfish) is the source of this 260-nucleotide long non-coding RNA. RefSeq lists it as uncharacterized. The record is from RefSeq and is a predicted model, not a curated record. NCBI's taxonomy places the organism in Eukaryota, Metazoa, Chordata, Actinopteri, Holocentriformes, Holocentridae. The transcript is spliced from 2 exons.
UAAUCCCCUGUUACUCGUGAUAUCUAAAAUCCGGCAGCGACCGCCGAGCCUCAUGUUAGCGUGUGUGCCGAUCUGCUAGGGGUUCAUCAGUGUGACAACCAGCGAGGGACACGAGGUCAGUCUUUAAAGGAACAAAACAACAUGGAUCCCUGUCCUCUUGCAUUCACUGAGACUGCAUAACCCACUCCACGCUGGGUUUUAAGAACAGGAGGACUGUGAGGAUUUCCACAAAGGAAAUAAAGACUGACUCAGUGUUUUUU